GAUGAACGCUGGCGGCGUGCCUAAUACAUGCAAGUCGAGCGAACGGACGAGAAGCUUGCUUCUCUGAUGUUAGCGGCGGACGGGUGAGUAACACGUGGAUAACCUACCUAUAAGACUGGGAUAACUUCGGGAAACCGGAGCUAAUACCGGAUGAUAUUUUGAACCGCAUGGUUCAAAAGUGAAAGACGGUCUUGCUGUCACUUAUAGAUGGAUCCGCGCUGCAUUAGCUAGUUGGUAAGGUAACGGCUUACCAAGGCAACGAUGCAUAGCCGACCUGAGAGGGUGAGCGGCCACACUGGAACUGAGACACGGUACAGACUCCUACGGGAGGCAGCAGUAGGGAAUCUUCCGCAAUGGGCGAAAGCCUGACGGAGAAACGCCGCGUGAGUGAUGAAGGUCUUCGGAUCGUAAAACUCUGUUAUUAGGGAAGAACAUAUGUGUAAGUAACUGUGCACAUCUUGACGGUACCUAAUCAGAAAGCCACGGCUAACUACGUG
Molecule: ribosomal RNA, 497 nt
Filed under: uncultured bacterium
Lineage: Bacteria
Description: partial 16S ribosomal RNA
Rfam family: Bacterial small subunit ribosomal RNA
Source: RNAcentral